RNAcentral lists this ribosomal RNA (434 nucleotides) under uncultured bacterium. RNAcentral's name for it is "partial 16S ribosomal RNA". It matches the Rfam family "Bacterial small subunit ribosomal RNA", at positions 29 to 507 of the family's 1533-position model. The record is from RNAcentral.
AGCGAACGCUGGCGGCAGGCCUAACACAUGCAAGUCGAACGAACUCUUCGGAGUUAGUGGCGGACGGGUGAGUAACACGUGGGAACGUGCCUUUAGGUUCGGAAUAACUCAGGGAAACUUGUGCUAAUACCGAAUGUGCCCUUCGGGGUAAAGAUUUAUCGCCUUUAGAGCGGCCCGCGUCUGAUUAGCUAGUUGGUGAGGUAAAGGCUCACCAAGGCGACGAUCAGUAGCUGGUCUGAGAGGAUGAUCAGCCACAUUGGGACUGAGACACGGCCCAAACUCCUACGGGAGGCAGCAGUGGGGAAUCUUGCGCAAUGGGCGAAAGCCUGACGCAGCCAUGCCGCGUGAAUGAUGAAGGUCUUAGGAUUGUAAAAUUCUUUCACCGGGGACGAUAAUGACGGUACCCGUAGAAGAAGCCCCUGGCUAACUUCGUG